RNAcentral lists this ribosomal RNA (506 nucleotides) under uncultured bacterium. Its description in RNAcentral is "partial 16S ribosomal RNA". It matches the Rfam family "Bacterial small subunit ribosomal RNA", at positions 29 to 523 of the family's 1533-position model. The record is from RNAcentral.
AGUGAACGCUGGCGGUAGGCCUAACACAUGCAAGUCGAACGGCAGCACAGGAGAGCUUGCUCUCUGGGUGGCGAGUGGCGGACGGGUGAGGAAUACAUCGGAAUCUACUCUGACGUGGGGGAUAACGUAGGGAAACUUACGCUAAUACCGCAUACGACCUACGGGUGAAAGCAGGCGACCUUCGGGCCUUGCGCGAUUGAAUGAGCCGAUGUCGGAUUAGCUAGUUGGCGGGGUAAAGGCCCACCAAGGCGACGAUCCGUAGCUGGUCUGAGAGGAUGAUCAGCCACACUGGAACUGAGACACGGUCCAGACUCCUACGGGAGGCAGCAGUGGGGAAUAUUGGACAAUGGGCGCAAGCCUGAUCCAGCCACACCGCGUGGGCGAAGAAGGCCUUCGGGUUGUAAAGCCCUUUUGUUGGGAAAGAAAUCCAGCUGGCUAAUACCCGGUUGGGAUGACGGUACCCAAAGAAUAAGCACCGGCUAACUUCGUGCCAGCCGCCGCCGUAA